This 226-nucleotide ribosomal RNA is filed under the name uncultured bacterium. RNAcentral describes it as "partial 16S ribosomal RNA". It matches the Rfam family "Bacterial small subunit ribosomal RNA", at positions 107 to 334 of the family's 1533-position model. The record is from RNAcentral.
UGAGUAACACGUAUCCAACCUGCCGUCUACUCUUGGACAGCCUUCUGAAAGGAAGAUUAAUACAAGAUGGCAUCAUGAGUCCGCAUGUUCACAUGAUUAAAGGUAUUCCGGUAGACGAUGGGGAUGCGUUCCAUUAGAUAGUAGGCGGGGUAACGGCCCACCUAGUCUUCGAUGGAUAGGGGUUCUGAGAGGAAGGUCCCCCACAUUGGAACUGAGACACGGCCAA